Molecule: long non-coding RNA, 1495 nt
Organism: Micropterus dolomieu (smallmouth bass)
Lineage: Eukaryota; Metazoa; Chordata; Actinopteri; Centrarchiformes; Centrarchidae
Exons: 2
Source: RefSeq, a predicted model, not a curated record
AUUUUCACAGAUUGUUCUUAGGGAUUCCCAUCCUGUGCAGCUACAAAGCUGCAUGUGUGGCAGGUACAGCUUUGUGUAACCAUCUGGCAGCACUUCUGUACCAGACUGCACAUUAUUCCCAGCUGAAGAUCACCUCUGUUCCUCCAACACACAGCUGCACAGAGACUGAACAGAAGUGGCAUAAGCCAAGAACCAUGGUAUAUUUAUAGGUAUUUAUGUUUACUGAAAACUUUUUCUUGUUAAAAUGCAGGGAAUUAAACCUGGUCCAGUAAAUGACAUGGUGAUUCUUUCAGCCAGACCUAAGGAACGAAGAUUGGUAGAAGGCAUCAGGAGCAACUUGUAUAAGGGAGUCAGUUCACCCGUGCCUGAACUUUCCACACUCAGGGUGGAUGAAGUUUACCAUGACCUUCCCAGUGACGUGGCCCCACUGAUAACAACAAUGGCUAUAGCCAAUAAUGUACCUCUGGUUGACUCUGUGUUCGGAAAAGUGCAAGAAGGAAGUGUGUACUCGUAUCAUUGCCAGCAAAGAAAAUGCCAAAAACAUGUCCACAAACAGAUGCCCCUUUUCCCCCUCAGUUGCCACUUCAUAAUUACAGGCUGGGACCUGCUACCUGUUCUUUUGUCUGCACUGAACAUCAGCAGCUCCACAUGAUGUCCCUUGCAACAACAUUAGAGACAGCACACAAAAUUGAGAACAGUACAAAAGAGCAGAGUUCCUGCAUUGAGUGGCACCAACUAAGGCAGCCCCACAUUACCACCUCCAAAAUCAGAGAUGUCUGUCACACCAGGGGACGGAGCUCUACAGAAAAUCUUGCAAGUCAUCAGACUGCAGACAUGAGGAGGGGACUUGACUUGGAACCAGCAGCUGUGGAGGAGUACUGCACUGAAGGAGGUAAACCACUAUCCCUGUGGGUUCCUGAUCCACCCUGAUGCACCCUGAAUGGGAUCAUCACUGGAUGGUAUUGUGUACGAUCCAAAGGGCGAGCCAGUGUUUGGCCUUGUUGAAAUUAAAUGCCCAAAUGUGGCAGGUUUUGUUGACUGUCCAUAUAUUAAGAUCAGUGAAGACGCACACACUCUUAGGAAAUCACAUCCGUACUUUUGGCAGAUUCCAGGGACAGAUGUUGAUUUCUGGAUUUGACUGGUGUGACUUUGUUGUGUAUACACACACUGACAUAUACAUCCAGAGGAUUCCCAGAGACGAGAAAAUCAUCAAAAAAAUGAAAGAAAGACUCUUUCUUCUUUUAUUUUUACCUCUGUGCUUCCCUAGAUAGUUAGAUUGUGACAGGACUGCACCAUCACCCUACUGUCCUGCUAUUCCUGCUAUCCAAAAAGUGCAUUCUAGGUCACUGUUGGUCAGGGUUUGUACAAAGUCUUAUUUUUGAAAAGGUAGGUCCUGUUUUUCCCUGAAAUUUCUUUUACAUUUGAUAGUUUUUUGUUUUUAGGUACCUUGAAAGCAAUUGAAUAUUUCUCAUUAAAAGCUGCACAAACCCCUUUG